Molecule: ribosomal RNA, 746 nt
Filed under: Salmonella enterica subsp. enterica serovar Kentucky
Lineage: Bacteria; Pseudomonadati; Pseudomonadota; Gammaproteobacteria; Enterobacterales; Enterobacteriaceae
Description: partial 23S ribosomal RNA
Rfam family: Bacterial large subunit ribosomal RNA
Source: RNAcentral
AGGGAAACCGAGUCUUAACUGGGCGUUAAGUUGCAGGGUAUAGACCCGAAACCCGGUGAUCUAGCCAUGGGCAGGUUGAAGGUUGGGUAACACUAACUGGAGGACCGAACCGACUAAUGUUGAAAAAUUAGCGGAUGACUUGUGGCUGGGGGUGAAAGGCCAAUCAAACCGGGAGAUAGCUGGUUCUCCCCGAAAGCUAUUUAGGUAGCGCCUCGUGAACUCAUCUUCGGGGGUAGAGCACUGUUUCGGCUAGGGGGUCAUCCCGACUUACCAACCCGAUGCAAACUGCGAAUACCGAAGAAUGUUAUCACGGGAGACACACGGCGGGUGCUAACGUCCGUCGUGAAGAGGGAAACAACCCAGACCGCCAGCUAAGGUCCCAAAGUCACAGUUAAGUGGGAAACGAUGUGGGAAGGCUCAGACAGCCAGGAUGUUGGCUUAGAAGCAGCCAUCAUUUAAAGAAAGCGUAAUAGCUCACUGGUCGAGUCGGCCUGCGCGGAAGAUGUAACGGGGCUAAACUGUGCACCGAAGCUGCGGCAGCGACGCUUAUGCGUUGUUGGGUAGGGGAGCGUUCUGUAAGCCUGCGAAGGUGUCCUGUGAGGGAUGCUGGAGGUAUCAGAAGUGCGAAUGCUGACAUAAGUAACGAUAAUGCGGGUGAAAAGCCCGCUCGCCGGAAGACCAAGGGUUCCUGUCCAACGUUAAUCGGGGCAGGGUGAGUCGACCCCUAAGGCGAGGCCGAAAGGCGU